AACUUAUCAAUUGGAAGAGAAAUGGUAGCAUGUCAAACGUAUGACGGAAGGGAUGAAUGCAGUUUCGAUUGUAAUACGCAGGCGCAAUUAAAGAAGGCAAGAUUAUAAAUACAGCACUUUUUAACCACAGCAUGAAGUUGUCACAGUGCAUUUGUUCCAUGAUGGCGCAACAUGUUAUUCAUUCAAGCACACCGGCAACUCUUUUGUUACUUGUUUUUACGAUAUCCAACUUAGUAACUAGCAAUGCAUUUACAGACGUGCAAGUAUUUGAUAACCUGAAAGUGAAAUCAGUGAAUGCUUUAAUUACAAAGCAAUCUCAUGCACGAGAGUACUUAUCUGGUGCUCCAGGUUUCUUUGUAGAGAUUCUUGGCACCGGCCUGGAGAGAAAUGUUUCGUUGCGCUGGUCAGCUACACUCGACAAUUGUGAUCCAAACAACAAGUUGAAUGCAAUUUGGAUCGAUCAUAAUGGCAAUCGUGCGAUAUAUAAGUUUAUCAAAAUUCCUAAUUUUAAGGUUACCACGAUCUAUUUCUGUCUGAGAACCGUCAGUAGGUUCGGUGAAACAUGGACCAAUCUUGGAAGCAAUUUAACUAUUCAGCGCCCAAUUCAUUCAGAAAAAUAUUUUCGUACGCGUCGUGCCAAUUCAUUAGCUAGCGUUGAUGGUGAUUACAAAAAUCCAUCAACUGAGCAAAUCCGUACAGAUGUAUUUAUUGAGGGAUUAAGAAUAGAAACAUCAGCAAAGGAUCCUAGCUACAGCGAAGAUGGUAUUCCAGAGAUAUUAGCUGGAAGCAGAGCAGUUAUACGAUUGUUUGGUUUUGGCUUUACAGAAGAUACUUUGGUUACUUUCACAGAUGUACCAGCAAAAAGGGGUACUAUUUGUGACAAAAUUAAAAGCAAGGAAUUUCCAGUACAACGUAUAAACAAUCAUACUGCAAUUAUCGAUGUUGUAUUACCACUUGGUUCACCAUUUUAUGUGUGUGCAAAACAACCAGUGUAUGGAAAAGAAGGUCCUGACCUUUUGCUGUUUAAACAUCAAGGUACUGAAACAUGGAAUACUAUAUAUACAUACGAGAAAUUUUUACCACUUUGGCUUAGUAUUGUAAUUAUUCUCAUGUGUCUAAGCUUUUCUGCUUUGUUCUCUGGUUUAAAUUUAGGGUUAAUGGCAAUGGAUAGAACUGAAUUGAAAAUACUUUGUAAUACUGGAACAGAGAAGGAAAAACAAUAUGCAAGAACAAUACAACCAGUGAGAAAUCAUGGGAAUUAUUUGUUAUGUUCGAUUUUGUUCUCAAAUGUUCUGGUAAAUUCAAUUUUUACCAUUUUAUUAGAUGAUCUAACUUCUGGAUUAGUUGCCGUUAUUUGUUCUACCUUAGCUAUUGUAAUAUUUGGUGAAAUUUCACCGCAAGCUAUUUGUAGCAGACAUGGAUUGUGUAUUGGGGCAAAGACUAUUUACGUUACAAAAUUAACCAUGAUAAUAACAUUUCCAUUGAGCUAUCCUAUUAGCAAGCUCUUAGAUGUUCUUCUUGGUGAAGAAAUUGGCAAUGUAUAUAAUCGUGAACGAUUGAAAGAACUUGUAAAGGUAACAACAGGGUAUAAUGAUUUAGAAAAGGAUGAAGUGAAUAUUAUUGCUGGAGCAUUAGAAUUGCGAAAAAAGACCGUGAAAGAUGUAAUGACAAAAAUCGAAGAUGUAUACAUGUUGAAUUAUGACGCUAUUUUAGAUUUUGAAACAGUAUCGGAAAUCAUGAAAUCAGGCUUUUCGCGUAUACCAGUUUACGAGGGUACCAGAACAAACAUAGUUACAAUGCUUUAUAUUAAAGAUCUUGCUUUCGUUGAUCCAGAUGAUAAUAUGCCACUUAAAACUUUGUGCCAAUUUUAUCAAAAUCCAUGUAACUUCAUUUUCGAAGAUGUUACGUUAGAUAUUAUGUUUAAACAAUUCAAAGAAGGCCAUAAAGGUCAUAUGGCAUUUGUGCAAAGAGUAAAUAAUGAAGGCGAAGGCGAUCCAUUUUAUGAGGUAAUAGGUUUAGUCACAUUGGAAGAUGUUAUAGAAGAAUUAAUUCAAGCAGAGAUUAUGGAUGAAACUGAUGUAUUUACGGAUAAUAGAACUAAACGUAGAAGGCAAGCAAGGCAUAAAAUACAAGAUUUUACUGUGUUUGCGGAGAAGAAAGAAAAUCAACGUAUUCAUAUAUCGCCGCAGUUGACAUUGGCCAUGUUUCAGUACUUAUCUACAACUGUUGAUGCAUUUAAACCCGAUACAAUAUCAGAAACUAUUUUGCGUCGUUUACUUAAACAAGAUAUUAUUUAUCAUAUCAAAGUGAAGUCACGCGAAAAAGCAAGAAAUGAUCCGACGGCAGUAAUUUAUCAACAAGGAAAAGCAGUUGAUUAUUUUGUCCUAAUCUUAGAAGGUCGAGUUGAAGUUACGGUCGGCAAAGAAAACAUGAUGUUCGAAAGCGGACCAUUUACAUAUUUUGGUUCUCAGGCACUCACUGUUAACGUUGGAAUAGCUGAGUCACCUACCGCCACAAAUCCCCAAACAGUCGGCAGCAUACAAUCGAUUAAUCUAGAUUCCAUGUUACGAUAUACGUUUGUUCCUGAUUAUACAGUGCGAGCGGUAACCGAAGUAUUUUAUGUUAAAAUUAAAAGAUCUUUGUACUUAGCUGCGAAACGGGCUACUCUUUUGGAACGAAGCCAAAAAGACCCGAUUCCCGGAAGCCAAGAGCAAUUUGACGACGAGAUAGAAAAGCUACUGCAUUCUUUGGACGAGGAUGAUCGUAGUGUACCAGAAUCUCCAGUAUUACCAAUUGAUAAAGAUAAGGAAAGUAAGAAAGAAAAAGAAAAAGAUUCUGUACAAUCUCCAAUUCAUAGUGCUACAGCUCCAACUUCACCUGCUCCAGUUAGUGCUAGUCCAGUUACACAUUCAAAGUUUAUUUCAUCGUACAGCGAUCAUAAUGGCAAAUUAAAAAAUUCGCCAGUAAAGGGAACGGUCACGAGUCCGAAUCAAGGACAAACCAAUUUAGAUUUAAAUUCAGACAUUCUUGCUCGUCAUGAAGCUAAUAAAAUCAUAUCAGCAAAAAAAUUAAUUGAAGAGGAAGAAAGAACGAAUCUCCUGCCUAAGCAAGAAGACUCUUAACGCUCGAAGAUUAGUCGACGAUGUUUAAACACGUCGACAUUGUUGACACUGCAGGUAUUAAACAACGAAGAGCAAGAAAAACCUCUAUGACAUAGAAUGCUAUGAUGGCAUUAGGAAAACAUAAGUUAUCGAUACAACCUGACGAUCAAUGCUGGUACAUAUCUUAAGUUUGAAAUAGUUCUAGCGAUAAAAAUCUUCCUGAAUUUUCAAAUAUCCCUUACAAAGAGGAGAUAAUAAUUAUUGUAAUAAGCUGUUAAAUCUGUAAUGUAACGAAAUAAUAUGCAAGAAAUCUAUUCUCAGAUUUUUUUAUGAGAAAAACAAUCAUUUACUAUAUUUAAUAGAAAAAGAAAAAUCACAUAGAACAAGUUUAUCGUAUAAGAUUAGUCAAAUCUGUAGCUCCUUCAAAUCACCACGGCUUAACGUUUGUUGUUUUUAAAAUUUAAAAACGAAACUAUUACUGCCAUAUUUUUUUUGUACUUGCUACGUGUUGUUUAAGUGCUUGUUUUGGUUAAUUUCUUCGAGGAAUAACGUUAAAAUUUGUACGUUACUUAUUUAAAAAUUUAACAACAAAGAAAUUUUAAUAUUUUAAAUUCUAUUUACGCGUAUUUGUCUUCUGCGGACAAAUAUCGACUUUAGAGUAUCGUAAAUUGUACAGAGUCAUUCAAAUUUUAUUUUUUAUAUAAAUAUAUAUUUAUUGUUUGAACGAUUUUAUGUAAACGUACAUGUUUGCGUGUUUUGGACAGUUUUGUGAAGUAUUUUCGUAAAUAUGAAAUAUAUUAAUAUAGCUUUAAAAAUAUAUUCAUAUUAACAUAUUACGUUACAGUUAAUGUUAGAAUAUUUAAAUGGCGUUUAUCCUUAAAGUGUAAUAAAUAGACAUACGUAAUAGAUGUAUAUCAUAUAUUUAUAGGAUUUAUUUUAUUACUCUUAUAUCGUUUAUCUUUUUCGUUGUUUAUCUUUUAAAUGUCAAUUUUUAACUAACGUUAUAUGUAACAUUUUUACGCUUUACUUAUUACAUUGUUUUAAGGACAGUGGAAAGUACUUGUUGCAAACUUAUGUAUAUUUAUAGUUUUUAUGUAAACCACGGAUAUUAUUAACAACGUGUUUAUACUCAAUAAUUUUAUGUUCUUCGUACGAUGAAAAUUGUAUCUUAUAUCGAGAAAUGAAGCUGUAACAAAAUCUGUAAAAAGAAACUCCAUUUUCAUUGUCGCUAUGUCUUUUAGAUUACUAAAGUCAUAUAAUAGUGUGCCUAUAAUUAAAUAUAAGUAUGUACUGCUUAUAUCAGUAUGUCGUUUAUAGCAAAUUCGAUCGAAAUUGUGAUUUAAAAUCAAAGAUUUUCUUGAAUAAAGCGCAAAGUAAUAGAAAAUCAUUCUCUAUUGAAAUAUGGCAGCGAGAUUAUUACCAUUAGUAAUGCUACAUAUUAAUUUUACAUUGUACUACAAUAGAAUCGAGGUAUAUUCGAGAAAAACGGAGCCAAAUAUUUAUCAAUAUUAUAUUACUAUAUUCACAAAAUAAAGAUACAAUUUCGUUUUCAA
Molecule: unclassified non-coding RNA, 4654 nt
Filed under: Megachile rotundata (alfalfa leafcutting bee)
Lineage: Eukaryota; Metazoa; Arthropoda; Insecta; Hymenoptera; Megachilidae
Description: metal transporter CNNM4, transcript variant X4
Source: RNAcentral